Long non-coding RNA from Pan troglodytes (chimpanzee), 3141 nucleotides. RefSeq lists it as uncharacterized. NCBI's taxonomy places the organism in Eukaryota, Metazoa, Chordata, Mammalia, Primates, Hominidae. The record is from RefSeq and is a predicted model, not a curated record. The transcript has 4 exons.
AUGGGAGCUCUGUUUUCACUCUGUUAAAUCUUGCAACUGCACUCUCUGGUCUGUGUUUGUUACAGCUCAAGCUGAGCUUUUGCUCGCCAUCCACCACUGGGGUUUGCCGCCGUCGCAGACAGAGACCCGCCACUGACUUCCAUCUCUCCUGAUCCAGCAGGGUGUCCACUGUGCUCCUGAUCCAGCGAGGCGCCCAUUGCCGCUCCUGAUCCGGCUAGAGGCUUGCCAUUGUUCCUGCACAGCUGAGUGCCCAGGAACCGGGUAGAUGAUCUGGACAUACUUGUUUCAUUAUUAAGAUACUUUGGAACUACUUUAAAAGGAUGAGGCAAGUAGGACUGCCAGGCUCAUAUGCCAACUGUGUAGCAACAGACCAACACAGUGAGACAGUGAGGUUUGCAACAGAGAAUGCAAGACCACUGAGAGAGGAGAUGGGAGAAAUCCUCAAGCCUCAAAUCUAUCUCCUCAAGGGGUUCUUGUGUAAUUUCAUUAAAUAUGGCAGCAGUGGUUACCUACAGGAAGAGAAGAAAUCCAAGUAAUGAGCCCAAUACUCCUCCUCAGGAGUGGAACAGGCUGUGGAAAAGAGGAAGGACCAAUAAAUGAGACUGGCAAGGUGGCUCAUGAGUAAAGAAGAAAACCAGAAAAAUGGAAAUCAAUUAAGAAAAUGUUUGGAGGAUGAAAACAUCAGUUAAAUCUGUGUAAUACUGAGAACAAAUAGGGUAACUUUAGAAUUAACAUCUGAAUCAGGAUGCUUUGAGAAUAAGACUAUACAUGGUUGAUUACACGAGAAAAAAUUAUAAACCAAGACUCUCCAAGGACAACAGGAUUGAGAAGUUUCUCCAAAAUUUUGGAGACAGUAAAACUAGGCAAAUUCUUAGAAGAAUUAUUCUAAAAUGAUAAAUUUAAAAAUAAAUGAAGUUCUCCUGCUGGAGAAGUAAGGAAAGAGAAUAUUUGUUUAAGAUGAGGGAACUAACUGUAUGUUUGCAUAAUGGUGGAUGAUCCAGUAGAGAAAGAAAAUUGAUGAGGCAAAAAGAGAGGAGAGAAUUGUGAGAGCAAAGUCAUUGAAUGACUUAAAAAAGAAGGGAUAAUAGUGAAAGAAUAGAAUCCACGCAACUGAGAUUAUGAAAAAGUUGUAUUUAUUAGUAAAAACAAAGUUAAGGUUAUGACUAUUAAAAUGUAUGUCUGAUGUAAAGUGGAAGACAAGGUCAUUUACUAACGGGGGUUGAGAAGCAAACGUGUUGAAAAGAUCAUAUCUGUAUAUGUUGAAAAUGCCAAGAUUUAAGACUAGAAUAGCAUUAGAGAAAUAAAUAAAAUAAACUGAAGUUUAUAAUAUCAGCAAUAUGAAUGGUGGUGGGUGAUAUGGUAAGAUGAUUCAAAAAGAAGAAUUUUAGGGAAGGAGAAAGAAUGAUUUAAAACCGGCAAAGGAGAACAAGAAAGAUAUCUAUGCCACUUCCACGCCCAGUGGCAUGAAAAAGGGAGAAAAAUCGGUGGCCACUUAAGACUGCAGAGAAACAAUGUUCUUAAUAGAUUGUCAUGUUUUCAUCAGAGCAAAAAGGUAAAUGUGUUAUUGAAAACAAAGAUCAAACACAGGGUGGAAACUGAUGAUAAUGAUUUGUGUGAAGGCAAUAGGGAGUGUGGUAGAUGUUGUGAAGGUUAGAAGAAAAAACAAAAGUGAGGGGACAGAUACAGAAUCUUAUACCAAUUAGAGUAUAAGAAAAGAAGAGCGAACUGGAAGUCUAAGAAUUUUUGUUAUGGAUGAUGUAAAUAAGAAUAAAGGAUAUAAUAUAUUUAGUGGUAAAUUGAAAAAUGUCCCAAAGAUAUAUCAAGCCCAAAUCUCCAGCACCUGUAAGUAUUGAUUUAUAGGGCAAAAGAAGUGACUAAGAGAAGAAUUUUUAGAUGAGGAGAUUAUUCUGGAUUAUAUGGAUGGGCACUAAAUGUAAUGAUGUGGGUCCUUUUAGAAAAAUGUAGAAGGAGUUUCCAUACUGACCCACAUAGAAAAGAAUUUGCUGUGUAGACAGAGGCAGAAAUUGGAAUGAUGCGACCGUAUGCCAGGCAAUGCUAGUAGCCAUCCAAAUCUGGAAGACGCAAAGAAUGGAUUCUCCUUUUCAGCCUCUAGAAGGAGGGAAUGAGGCUGUGCCGACACCUUAAUUUCAUCUUAGUGAUACUCCUUUCAAACUUAAGGCCUCCAGAACUAUGAGAGAAUAAAUUUCUACUGUGUUAAGCUUCCUCGUUUGGAGUAAUUUGUUAUCAAAGCCACAGGAAAGAAAGACAUUAGGGAUUCAAAUUGGAUAUUUGUGGCAACAUUAUGAAUCUUUGAUUCUGGCUGUCAACUGGGAUCCUUGGAUUUCUCCAGGUUGGAUGUCCUGGGGCUGGAGGUCAAGGUAGUUCUUUAUUUUAUUUUAUUUUAUUUUAUUAUUAUUAUUAUACUUUAAGUUUUAGGGUACAUGUGCACAACGUGCAGGUUUGUUACAUAUGUAUACCUGUGCCAUGUUGGUGUGCUGUACCCAUUAACUCGUCAUUUAACAUUAGAUAUAUCUCCUAAUGCUAUCCCUCCCCCACUCCCCCCACCCCACGAUAGGCCCCAGUGUAUGAUGUUCCCCUUCCUGUGUCCAUGAGUUCUCAUUUUUCAAUUCCCACCUAUGAGCAAGAACAUGCAGUGUUUGGUUUUUUGUCCUUGAGAUAGUUUGCUGAGAAUGAUGGUUUCCAGUUUCAUCCAUGUCCCUACAAAGGACAUGAACUCAUCAUUGUUUAUGGCUGCAUAGUAUUCCAUGGUGUGUAUGUGCCACAUUUUCUUAAUCCAGUCUAUCAUUGCUGGACAUUUGGGUUGGUUCCAAGUCUUUGCUACUGUGAAUAGUGCCGCUAUAAACAUACGUGUGCAUGAGUCUUUCAUGUCUGACUCCUGGCUCCAGCCAGUGGCUGAGAGUUGGGGCUAGCUGGGGAUGUUUCUUUCUUUUUUUUUUUUUUUUUGAGACUGAGUCUCGCUCUUUCACCCAGGCUGGAGUGCAGUGGCACAAUCUCAGCUCACUGCAAGCUCCACCUCCUGGUUUCACGCCAUUCUCCUUCCUCAGCCUCCUGAGUAGCUGGGACUAUAGGGGCCCGCCACCACGCCCAGCUAAUUUUUUGUCUUUUUAGUAGAGACGGGGU